AUCUUUUUAAUAUAAGUGUAUAUUUGGUUUCCACCCAGAAGGUCUAGUUUUAUCUAGAAAAGAUA
This 65-nucleotide transfer RNA is filed under the name Gastroptychus investigatoris. RNAcentral describes it as "tRNA-Gly". The record is from RNAcentral. Lineage: Eukaryota; Metazoa; Arthropoda; Malacostraca; Decapoda; Chirostylidae.